This 65-nucleotide transfer RNA is filed under the name Crioceris duodecimpunctata (spotted asparagus beetle). RNAcentral describes it as "tRNA-Trp". Lineage: Eukaryota; Metazoa; Arthropoda; Insecta; Coleoptera; Chrysomelidae. The record is from RNAcentral.
AAGGAUUUAAGUUAAAGAAACUAUUAACCUUCAAAGUUAAAAAUAGGUAGAUAAUCUAAGCCUUA